CUAGCGUAUGUUGUUUUUGGAUUAUGUACACGUGUUUGUAUUAUAAAUCAAAAGUGUCCGCUUACACUGUCUUACAUUUUGGAAACACCUCUUGUUAAGAAUGAUUACUAUCACGUGCAUUUUGUUCUUAAGAGUGUAAAGCACGUUAUAACUUUCUCACAUAGCAUCUGUUUAGCUUUAUACAAACAUUUUGUUAUAAUCACC
Molecule: long non-coding RNA, 204 nt
Filed under: Mytilus galloprovincialis (Mediterranean mussel)
Lineage: Eukaryota; Metazoa; Mollusca; Bivalvia; Mytilida; Mytilidae
Source: RNAcentral